This 475-nucleotide ribosomal RNA is filed under the name uncultured bacterium. RNAcentral describes it as "bacterial SSU rRNA". It matches the Rfam family "Bacterial small subunit ribosomal RNA", at positions 330 to 797 of the family's 1533-position model. The record is from RNAcentral.
UGCGAACUCCUACGGGAGGCAGCAGUGGGGAAUUUUGGACAAUGGGCGCAAGCCUGAUCCAGCCAUGCCGCGUGUCUGAAGAAGGCCUUCGGGUUGUAAAGGACUUUUGUCAGGGAAGAAAAGGAUAGGGUUAAUACCCCUGUCUGAUGACGGUACCUGAAGAAUAAGCACCGGCUAACUACGUGCCAGCAGCCGCGGUAAUACGUAGGGUGCGAGCGUUAAUCGGAAUUACUGGGCGUAAAGCGAGCGCAGACGGUUACUUAAGCAGGAUGUGAAAUCCCCGGGCUCAACCUGGGAACUGCGUUCUGAACUGGGUGACUAGAGUGUGUCAGAGGGAGGUAGAAUUCCACGUGUAGCAGUGAAAUGCGUAGAGAUGUGGAGGAAUACCGAUGGCGAAGGCAGCCUCCUGGGAUAACACUGACGUUCAUGCUCGAAAGCGUGGGUAGCAAACAGGAUUAGAUACCCUUGUAGUCCU